UGGUGGGGUGACUUGUCUGCUUAAUUGCGAUAACGAACGAGACCUUAACCUGCUAAAUAGCCCACAUUGCUCCGGCAGUGCGCUGGCUUCUUAGAGGGACUUUCGGCUCAAGCCGAAGGAAGUUUGAGGCAAUAACA
Molecule: ribosomal RNA, 137 nt
Filed under: uncultured eukaryote
Lineage: Eukaryota
Description: partial 18S ribosomal RNA
Rfam family: Eukaryotic small subunit ribosomal RNA
Source: RNAcentral